GAUGAACGCUGGCGGCGUGCCUAAUACAUGCAAGUCGAGCGCACAGACGUGGAGCUUGAUCCUGUUUGCUUCGGAUCGGUCGGGAGUGUAAUAAGUGGCUAACCUGCGUGUAAGACUUGGAUAACUUCGCGAAAAGUGAGGGAUAACAGGUUAAAACAUAUACUCGUACGGCCUAAUACUUAAAGACGCUUGGGGUGUGACUGAUAGAUGGUUCCGCGUUGCAUUAUGUAGUUGGUAAGGUAACCGCUUACAAAGUGAGCGAUGCAUAGCCGACCUGAGAGGGUAAUCGGCCACACUGGAACUGAGACACGGUCCAGACUCCUACGGGAGGCAGCAGUAGGGAAUCUUCCACAAUGGACGAAAGCCUGACGGAGCAACGCCGCGUGAGUGAUGAAGGUCUUCGGAUCGUAAAACUCUGUUAUUAGGGAAGAACAUAUCUGUAAGUAACUAAGCACGUAUUGACGGUACCUAAUCAGAAAGCCACGGCUAACUACGUG
This 497-nucleotide ribosomal RNA is filed under the name uncultured bacterium. RNAcentral describes it as "partial 16S ribosomal RNA". It matches the Rfam family "Bacterial small subunit ribosomal RNA", at positions 28 to 507 of the family's 1533-position model. The record is from RNAcentral.